UACGUAGGUGGCAAGCGUUGUCCGGAUUUACUGGGUGUAAAGGGCGUGCAGCCGGAGAGACAAGUCAGAUGUGAAAUCCACGGGCUCAACCCGUGAACUGCAUUUGAAACUGUUUCCCUUGAGUGUCGGAGAGGUAAUCGGAAUUCCCGGUGUAGCGGUGAAAUGCGUAGAGAUCGGGAGGAACACCAGUGGCGAAGGCGGCCUACUGGGCUCUAACUGACGCUGAGGCACGAAAGCGUGGGUAGCAAACAGG
RNAcentral lists this ribosomal RNA (253 nucleotides) under uncultured Oscillospira sp. RNAcentral's name for it is "partial 16S ribosomal RNA". It matches the Rfam family "Bacterial small subunit ribosomal RNA", at positions 524 to 776 of the family's 1533-position model. The record is from RNAcentral. Lineage: Bacteria; Bacillati; Bacillota; Clostridia; Eubacteriales; Oscillospiraceae.